AUGCCUCUGAAUCUCGCUGUGCUGGGCACGCCGCCAUCCGUACCAAGCAGGGCUGGCGAGACCCCCCUGCAAGACCCGGGGGCACGCACGGAGAACACGGGAUCUUUUCCCUCACCGCUUUCCCUCUCUGCUAUCCGGAGCCAAGGACGCUUCCUUCCAGCGGCUACAGCUGCCGGCCCGGACCCGGCGGGCGUCGCAUCCCGGGCUCGGGAGCCGAGGCGAGCACGCUGCCUGGCGAGGGGAGCGAUCCAGGCGUGCUCCCGGCACGGCUGGGGCGCGGGGCUGCGUUACAUAAAGGGUCCCGAGCAGCGGGGCCCGAGCGAUGCCGGCUCCACGAGCACCCCUCGGAUGCGCACCGGGGUCCGGGUGCCCCUUGCCCGGCCUCCCCUCGCCGCUCCGGUUCCGAGUCACCGACCGACCGCUGCUUUCCCAGACUUUUAUCCGGCGUGGCGCCCCCCCGGAGCAGGACCCCCGCCCGCCGCCCCGCCUCUCCCGCAGCCCACCCCGGCGGCACCGGCUCAGCAUCGCUCCCCCUCUCCGCCCGGAUCGCCCCCGGGGCGGAAAACACCCCAAAAAAUCCCUCUGGCCGAUCGACCCGCACUCGGCUCCCCGUCCCCGCCGCAGUUCCCGAGAGGCCCGGGCCCCAAAGAUGGCACUGCCAGGGGCUGGGAGGCCGGUGACAGGGAGGGAGAUGUGGGAGAACACCCCCCACCACCGAAGUGGCCCGGGGCAGGCGGGGCCCCGCACGGGGAACGGGUCUUCUCCGGCAGGCACGCAGGCAGAGGGGCGGCCGCGCCGAGCCGCACCGAAACUUUCCUGCCACAAAGAAGCAGCCACGGCUCCGCCGCCUUCUCCACCUCCUCCUCCCCAGCCACCGGCUCCAUCCCUGAGCGCCCCCCGCCCACUCCCCCGGCGGCGCUCACCGGGCGGCCCCGGGCCGGGCACCCCGCGCUCCGCAGGCGGCUCUCGCUGCUCCGGAGGCGGCGACGGCGGCGGCAGCAACCCCGCGCCUCGUCCCACUGCUCCCCCCUCGGCCUCAGGCAGCGCGGAGGCGGCGGCCUCGCAUCAUCGCCCCGCCUCGGGGCACCGUCAGGCGCCGGGACCCUCCCCCCGGGACCCUCCGCCCCGGCGGGCGCGGCUGCGCGGAGCGGGGCGGGAGAAGGAGGAGAAGGAGGAGGCGGAGGCAGGGGCCGGUCGGUGGGAGCUGCCGCCGGACCGCGCCUAGCGGGACGGCACCUGGGGCACGGCCAGGCCGCUGCAUCCGGAGGGGCUUCUUCAGGGGAGGACGAGGGAACAUUGCCCCGCUACCCGAGUGAGAAACUCGGGGGUUCUUGGGCAAGAAAGGCAGCCCGGGGAAGCCGGGGCCGGAGGAGCGGGGCGCGGGGGUCGCGCCGAGCGGCGCUGCGGGGAGCAGAGUGCGCCCGGGGCAGCGCUCCCACGCCGGAGGGUGGCAGGAGAAAAAGAACCGGGGGCAGCGCCGCUGGAAGCGCCAGCGGGGACCGCGAUGAACUUCCCCGAAGGCUGAGAAGGUGCAGGUGCCCGGGAGAGGGCAGGGGCCGCCCGCAUUGGGAAGAGACCCUGGGCUUCCGGACAUCUUUCCCAGGAUCUCUAGAACACGUCUGGGAGGCGGCUUUCUCCUCCCACGUGCCAAGCUCCAAGGGACCAAGGCAACACGUUUCGUGA
RNAcentral lists this long non-coding RNA (1683 nucleotides) under Parus major (Great Tit). Its description in RNAcentral is "lncRNA (ENSPMJG00000014625.1)". The record is from RNAcentral. Lineage: Eukaryota; Metazoa; Chordata; Aves; Passeriformes; Paridae.